CAGCUACUGGUUCAACCUUCUUCAAUGUGGUGUCCCCUACAAAUUUUGGAUUUCAAGUCUCCUUCUCCACAUAGUCAAUGGCCAAAAUACUUCACACAUCUGGAAGCCAUGCAGUUGGAGGAGGCUAUUUUAUGCCACUGCGAAACCUUCAAGGAGCAUUGGAUCUAGUGCAUCCACCCCCUCUCCCCACCAUCUGUGCAAUGUUGUCAAGUGUAACCCUAUAUGUUCAAAAGUUAGAUGGUGCUCUUGCACUCCAGGGCAAAGCGGGGCGGUGGUGACCUCACCAUCCAAGUAUGACAGACCAACACGGAGCUCUGAUCCCCAUCUUUGCAGGUUGUAAAGGAAAAAAAAUGCCACGUAGAAAUGUAUAAAACUGGAAAUACAAAGAAAGGAAUGGGUUGCAAGUCGAAGAAUGCAGAGUGCCGUUUAAAUCCUUUUUUUUCCGAGGCUCAACCUGUUCAGUUCAGCUCGGUUGGAAGUUGAGGCAGACACAGAAAUGGCGCAAACGUUGAAAGGAAAGAAAGGAAGUUAAGUGCAGAGGCAAGUGGCAGAAAUGACAUCUGGAUGUUUCUUGAUCGCACAACAGAAUCUUAUAUCUAGAUUUCCCUGUGGUUGAUCCCUGUGGUUGAUCACAAGCCCAGAGAUGCAGUGACCUCAUCGAUACAUGUGUGACAGCAGACCUCAUUGAUGGAUGUCAUGGUGGGAUCUUCUCUCUUCCAAGUAUCUCUGACUUCUGCUGAAGUCCUUGAACCGCAGCUGAUGAUGUUACAGUCGUGCUCUUUCCAAGAAACAGUUUCCCUGGGGAGGAGCUGAAAUGACAAAUGGUAGCCAAGGGCUGGCACAUUCCAGGUGUCUUCUCUUGGUGUUGUUGAUGGGAUAAGAAGGCCUGAAUCUCAUCAAGGAGGAAUGUGUAAAUGAUGUUACAACAUUCAGGAGGAUUAAGUAAAUGUCCAGAGAUUGCUUUCCAGUAAGCUGAUCUUAGACUGUGGUAUGCUUUGAUAAACCAUCAAGAUAAACCAGCAAGAAGGCAUAUAGAUUAGCAGAGCAGUUGAACAGAGGAGGAAGAAAACUAUAUUCAUCUAUGACUCAUAAGGGUAAAAGUGAUAUCUUAUCAUAGCCCAUUAUAAAUCCUUUGGAAUCAUAUAGGAUAAUAUGACGGCACCCAUAAACACUUAAAUGAGUCUCAAAACAUAGGAAAUUUUAUCUUAUAAAGGCCACAGCUGCCAAUUUAUUGAA
This is a long non-coding RNA of Anolis carolinensis (green anole), 1236 nucleotides long. RefSeq lists it as uncharacterized. The transcript is spliced from 2 exons. Lineage: Eukaryota; Metazoa; Chordata; Lepidosauria; Squamata; Anolidae. The record is from RefSeq and is a predicted model, not a curated record.